AUUGAACGCUGGCGGCAUGCCUUACACAUGCAAGUCGAACGGCAGCGGGGGAGAAGCUUGCUUUUCCUGCCGGCGAGUGGCGAACGGGUGAGUAAUACAUCGGAACGUGCCCUGUAGUGGGGGAUAACUAGUCGAAAGAUUAGCUAAUACCGCAUACGACCUGAGGGUGAAAGUGGGGGACCGCAAGGCCUCAUGCUAUAGGAGCGGCCGAUGUCUGAUUAGGUAGUUGGUGGGGUAAAGGCCUACCAAGGCGACGAUCAGUAGCUGGUCUGAGAGGACGAUCAGCCACACUGUGACUGAGACACGGCCCAGACUCCUACUGGAGGCAGCAGUGGGGAAUUUUUGACAAUGGGCGAAAGCCUGAUCCAGCAAUGCCGCGUGUGUGAAGAAGGCCUUCGGGUUGUAAAGCACUUUUGUCCAGAAAGAAAUGGCUCUGGUUAAUACCUGGGGUCGAUGACGGUACCGGAAGAAUAAGGACCGGCUAACUACGUGCCAGCCGCCGCCGUAA
This 508-nucleotide ribosomal RNA is filed under the name uncultured bacterium. RNAcentral describes it as "partial 16S ribosomal RNA". It matches the Rfam family "Bacterial small subunit ribosomal RNA", at positions 30 to 523 of the family's 1533-position model. The record is from RNAcentral.